Molecule: unclassified non-coding RNA, 194 nt
Filed under: uncultured fungus
Lineage: Eukaryota; Fungi
Description: sequence contains ITS1
Source: RNAcentral
UUAACUUAUUUUGUUUUGCUCAGACGACACUAAACGCAGGGUUGGGUCCUCUGGCGGGCGCGCCCCGGCCGAAGCCGGGAGCCCCCGAGGGGGCGGCCCGCCAAAGCAACAAGUGGUAAAUAACACAGGGUGGGAGGUCUACCCCGGAGGGCAUGAUCUCUUUAAUGAUCCUUCCGCUGGUUCACCAACGGAAA